Molecule: ribosomal RNA, 449 nt
Filed under: uncultured bacterium
Lineage: Bacteria
Description: partial 16S ribosomal RNA
Rfam family: Bacterial small subunit ribosomal RNA
Source: RNAcentral
GUCGAGAAUCUUUCACAAUGGGGGCAACCCUGAUGGAGCGACGCCGCGUGGAGGAUAAGGUCUUCGGAUUGUAAACUCCUGUCAUGCGUGAACAAGGUUGCUUGGUUAAUACCUGGGCAAAUUGAUGGUAACGCAAGAGGAAGAGACGGCUAACUCUGUGCCAGCAGCCGCGGUAAUACAGAGGUCUCAAGCGUUGUUCGGAAUCACUGGGCGUAAAGGGUGUGUAGGUGGCGUGGUAAGUCAGAUGUGAAAGCCCGGUGCUCAACCUCGAAACUGCAUCCGAUACUGCCAUGCUAGAGUACUGGAGAGGUGACUAGAAUUCUCGGUGUAGCAGUGAAAUGCGUAGAUAUCGAGAGGAAUACCAAAGGCGUAGGCAGGUCACUGGACAGUUACUGACACUGAGGCACGAAGGCCAGGGGAGCGAACGGGAUUAGAAACCCGGGUAGUCC